Molecule: ribosomal RNA, 253 nt
Filed under: uncultured bacterium
Lineage: Bacteria
Description: partial 16S ribosomal RNA
Rfam family: Bacterial small subunit ribosomal RNA
Source: RNAcentral
UACAGAGGGUGCAAGCGUUAAUCGGAAUUACUGGGCGUAAAGGGUGCGUAGGUGGUUUGAUAAGUUAGGUGUGAAAGCCCUGGGCUUAACCUGGGAACUGCGCCUAAUACUGUUGAACUAGAGUACUGUAGAGGAAGGUGGAAUUUCCGGUGUAGCGGUGAAAUGCGUUGAUAUCGGAAGGAACGCCGGUGGCGAAAGCGACGUGCUGGCCCUCUUCUGACGCUGAGGCGCGAAAGCCAGGGGAGCGAACGGG